AUUCAGCUGACAAAUUCCAAAUAGGAUGAAACGCGCGACCUGGAU
This 45-nucleotide non-coding RNA is filed under the name Schistosoma margrebowiei. Lineage: Eukaryota; Metazoa; Platyhelminthes; Trematoda; Strigeidida; Schistosomatidae. The record is from RNAcentral.